Molecule: ribosomal RNA, 514 nt
Filed under: uncultured eukaryote
Lineage: Eukaryota
Description: bacterial SSU rRNA
Rfam family: Eukaryotic small subunit ribosomal RNA
Source: RNAcentral
AGUCAUAUGCUUGUCUUAAAGAUUAAGCCAUGCAUGUCUAAGUAUAAAUAGUAUACAGUGAAACUGCGAAUGGCUCAUUAAAACAGUUAUAGUUUAUUUGGUAAUCAAACUUACAUGGAUAACCGUGGUAAUUCUAGAGCUAAUACAUGCUGUUGCGCCCGACUCACGAAGGGCCGUAUUUAUUAGAUAUCAGCCAAUAAGCAUCUGCUAUUGUGGUGACUCAUAGUAACUUAAUCGGAUCGCAUGGGCUUGUCCCGCGACAAACCAUUCAAGUUUCUGCCCCAUCAGCUUUCGAUGGUAGUGUAUUGGACUACCAUGGCUUUCACGGGUAACGGAGGAUUAGGGUUCGAUUCCGGAGAGGGAGCCUGAGAAACGGCUACCACAUCUAAGGAAGGCAGCAGGCGCGUAAAUUACCCAAUUCUGACUCAGAGAGGUAGUGACAAGAAAUAACGGGUCGGGACUUCUGUCCCGGGACUGCAAUGAGCCGAAUCUACACACCUUAGCGAGGAUCAAU